AGAAACUUAGGAUAACUUAAACCAAAGGCCUUCAAAGCCUUAAAUAAGAGUGAAACCCUCUUAGUUUCUG
Molecule: transfer RNA, 70 nt
Filed under: Petroica multicolor (Norfolk robin)
Lineage: Eukaryota; Metazoa; Chordata; Aves; Passeriformes; Petroicidae
Description: tRNA-Trp
Rfam family: tRNA
About the family: Transfer RNA (tRNA) molecules are approximately 80 nucleotides in length. Their secondary structure includes four short double-helical elements and three loops (D, anti-codon, and T loops).
Source: RNAcentral